Non-coding RNA from Triticum aestivum (bread wheat), 126 nucleotides. The record is from Rfam. NCBI's taxonomy places the organism in Eukaryota, Viridiplantae, Streptophyta, Magnoliopsida, Poales, Poaceae.
UUUCUACUCCCACCGUCUGAAAAAACUUGUCCCAAGCUUGUCCCUCUAAUGGAUGUAUCUAGCACUAACUUGGUGAUAGAUAUAUCCAUUUGAGAGACAAGGUUUUCCGGACGGAGGGAGUAAUAC